Molecule: long non-coding RNA, 560 nt
Organism: Cavia porcellus (domestic guinea pig)
Lineage: Eukaryota; Metazoa; Chordata; Mammalia; Rodentia; Caviidae
Exons: 2
Source: RefSeq, a predicted model, not a curated record
CCUGGCUUCUCUCUCUGCUUUCCCUCUCAUAGUGGCUUUCUUAAUAUUCCUGACAUGCAUGAACUUGAAGAAGUCUGAGUCUCUUUAAGUCUCAUAAGUAGAAAUCUGGUAGAAAAUCAUCACAGCAAUGUACUGUAGACAGAAUGUCAUUAUUGAUUUCUCUCUUAAAUUCAGAUGUGAAGAUGAUUAAAAUCCAGAGGCCAUGUUAAAAGUCCAGAAGAUCAGAAUUCUGAGGAUGUGACUGUAAAUGAUGUUUCAGUAAGAUUGGACACCGCUGUGAGAGGAAAUUGCAGCCAUGCUUUUAAAAUAUAAUUAUCGAGAAGGACAAAGCCCCCGUCUUCUGGUCUAAUUUUAAAGUGUGCCCUCUUGCACACACAGAUAACUCAAUCAUACUGAGCACCUCCUUCCCCAAAGCCCUUCCCUGCUGCAGCACUAGCUUCCUGUGGCUCCGGGAAACUUCCUUAUUUUUUAAAUAAGUGACUUCACAUCUUUCAUUCUCACCUCAGAAAUACUGGUCAUUAUUGCAAUAAUCUUGAAUAAAGAAUUCCUGGCCUAUGUAA